UACGAAGGGGGCGAGCGUUGUUCGGAAUUACUGGGCGUAAAGGGCGCGCAGGCGGCCCUUGAAGUCAGGCGUGAAAGCCCCGGGCUCAACCUGGGAGGUGCGCUUGAUACUCGAGGGCUUGAGUGCGGGAGAGGAGAGUGGAAUUCCAGGUGUAGCGGUGAAAUGCGUAGAUAUCUGGAGGAACACCGGUGGCGAAGGCGGCAUCCUGGACCAAUACUGACGCUGAGGAGCGAAAGCCAGGGGAGCAAACGGG
This 253-nucleotide ribosomal RNA is filed under the name uncultured bacterium. RNAcentral describes it as "partial 16S ribosomal RNA". It matches the Rfam family "Bacterial small subunit ribosomal RNA", at positions 524 to 776 of the family's 1533-position model. The record is from RNAcentral.